Molecule: long non-coding RNA, 347 nt
Filed under: Monodelphis domestica (gray short-tailed opossum)
Lineage: Eukaryota; Metazoa; Chordata; Mammalia; Didelphimorphia; Didelphidae
Description: lncRNA (ENSMODG00000040238.1)
Source: RNAcentral
CUCUUCUCUACUUGGAUGUCAUGGAGAAGUUAAAGAGGAGGAGUCUGCCCUCAUGUUCUCUUUAGUUUCCCAUUAGAGCAGGUCUGUAGGGUAUGGCUGCCUUCUGAUGCUUCUCUGUUUGUUGUACUCUGCUUUCCUGUACCUCUGCACCGGACAGAACUUUUAUGAAUCAACAAGAUGAUGCUUUCCACAGAGACCUCUCCCCUUCAGGAUAAAAUGAGCCUUUGCUUCCAACAACCAGAGGAGACGAUUGGGAUUUAGGAGAGAAAAUAUUUCCUGUUUCCCAAAGGGAACUAGAUUUGCUGGCUGUGAUAGUCACCUUCCUCUGCUGGUUGACUGCCUGUCAU